Molecule: ribosomal RNA, 497 nt
Filed under: uncultured bacterium
Lineage: Bacteria
Description: partial 16S ribosomal RNA
Rfam family: Bacterial small subunit ribosomal RNA
Source: RNAcentral
GAUGAACGCUGGCGGCGUGCCUAAUACAUGCAAGUCGAGCGAACAGAUAAGGAGCUUGCUCCUUUGACGUUAGCGGCGGACGGGUGAGUAACACGUGGGUAACCUACCUAUAAGACUGGGAUAACUUUGGGAAACCGGAGCUAAUACCGGAUAAUAUUUCGAACCGCAUGGUUCGAUAGUGAAAGAUGGUUUUGCUAUCACUUAUAGAUGGACCCGCGCCGUAUUAGCUAGUUGGUAAGGUAACGGCUUACCAAGGCGACGAUACGUAGCCGACCUGAGAGGGUGAUCGGCCACACUGGAACUGAGACACGGUCCAGACUCCUACGGGAGGCAGCAGUAGGGAAUCUUCCGCAAUGGGCGAAAGCCUGACGGAGCAACGCCGCGUGAGUGAUGAAGGUCUUCGGAUCGUAAAACUCUGUUAUUAGGGAAGAACAUACGUGUAAGUAACUGUGCACGUCUUGACGGUACCUAAUCAGAAAGCCACGGCUAACUACGUG